RNAcentral lists this non-coding RNA (62 nucleotides) under Paraburkholderia tropica. RNAcentral describes it as "Burkholderia tropica Betaproteobacteria toxic small RNA". It matches the Rfam family "Betaproteobacteria toxic small RNA". From Rfam's summary of the family: Overexpression in amino aid rich medium attenuates growth, suggesting role in repressing amino acid intake and metabolism. Lineage: Bacteria; Pseudomonadati; Pseudomonadota; Betaproteobacteria; Burkholderiales; Burkholderiaceae. The record is from Rfam by way of RNAcentral.
CGUCUCCUCCAUGUCUCCUCCUGAUAUGGAUUCAGCCCGCCAACUUAGGUGGGCUUUUUCUU